Molecule: long non-coding RNA, 432 nt
Organism: Ctenopharyngodon idella (grass carp)
Lineage: Eukaryota; Metazoa; Chordata; Actinopteri; Cypriniformes; Xenocyprididae
Exons: 3
Source: RefSeq, a predicted model, not a curated record
UAUAGGGUAAAAACAAAAUAGAAAUAUUAUUAAUUUUUUUAAUUACUUAAACGUGUUUUUCAUUUUUAAUAAAAUAAUUAUUCUUUAGAUCUGACCCUGUAUUUCUGCUAUACUAUCAGCCACUAGGUGGUGCAGUGCACUAGAUAUGCACACUACACUGGGCUCGUGUGGAGAUCUGAGGAAAGAACGUGGAAUAUUCCAGUAUGUCUGUUAUUUAUUGGGUGUUCAUGCAAAGAUAAUAAACACCAGACAGAACUAAAAGGAGUCUUAGAAAGGCUUCUGUAAAGCUCCAGUGGAUGGAUUUCUAAAGCACCAGAAGUGUUUGAGAACCUUUUCUUCUGAGGACAGACUUCCUGCUGCUGAAGUACAGAAGUGAGUUCAUGCGUGCGUGUGUCAGUUUGCGUCACACAGGAGGUCAGUGCUGUCAGAGCU